AGAACGAACGCUGGCGGCAGGCUUAACACAUGCAAGUCGAGCGCCCAGCAAUGGGAGCGGCGGACGGGUGAGUAACACGUGGGAACAUGCCUUUCGGUACGGAACAACUGCGGGAAACUGCAGCUAAUGCCGUAUGCGCCCUUACGGGGAAAGAUUUAUCGCCGAAAGAUUGGCCCGCGUCUGAUUAGCUAGUUGGUGAGGUAACGGCUCACCAAGGCUUCGAUCAGUAGCUGGUUUGAGAGAACGACCAGCCACACUGGGACUGAGACACGGCCCAGACUCCUACGGGAGGCAGCAGUGGGGAAUCUUGGACAAUGGGGGAAACCCUGAUCCAGCCAUGCCGCGUGAGUGAUGAAGGCCUUCGGGUUGUAAAACUCUUUUACCAGGGAAGAUAAUGACUGUACCUGGAGAAUAAGCCCGGCUAACUUCGCGCCAGCAGCCGC
Molecule: ribosomal RNA, 443 nt
Filed under: uncultured bacterium
Lineage: Bacteria
Description: SSU rRNA
Rfam family: Bacterial small subunit ribosomal RNA
Source: RNAcentral